GUGAGGCUGAAGGAAGAACCAGUAGAAGGGACUUAACUGGGUCACGUUCUCUGAAGCUGCCGCAUUUCUUGAGUGUGCCCAUUUGGGCUGGAUUUCGAAGAGGAAGCCCUUUGCAGUCAUGAACUGCGUGCGGGAACCCAGGCUGUGUUCAAAUUCCUCCUGAAGAAAGAAAUAAUAACGAGAAACAGGCUGUGGAAAAGAAUGUAGUUAGUGUCUUAAAGAUGGGCAAAUAUUCAUUCUCAUUUGUCCCUUUAUGUGAAACAGAUUUUUUAAAAGGCAAUUGGAGUAGCUAACAACAUCCAGAGCCCUGCUGAUUCGAGUGGGGCUGAGGGUGGGGGCUCCCCUCGGCCCACACGACUAAUCAGACCCAAGAAAAGAGGUGCUUUCCCUUCAGAAGGCCCUGCUCUGAGCGGCCCCUCUUCCCCGACCCACUCCUUCCAAGACGCAGUACUCGGCAUAGGACGCCCACCUGCCCGCCUUGCGCGGGGCUGACCUGGACAUCCCUGCCCGGGGCUCACACCCCUGCAGGACUGGGGGUAGAUGGAGCCAAAGAGGAUGUCCCCCAGGCUCUACAGACUCAGCAACUUGGGGUGGAGAAUGAGAGUGGAUCAGUCAUUGGAUUGGCAAGUCAUUUAACACAUUUUUUUUUAACAUGAAAACAGAUUAAUAGAGCAGAGGGCAAAAUCUGCUUGAGUUUGAAAAAAUAAACCAGGAGACUUGAGAGAAGUGAAGGGGAGUGGGUGACGGGAGCCCAUGCUGGGGUGCUUCCUCCUGGGCUGGGCUCUUGAGGGUCGUGGAGGGGCGGCUCGGGAGGGACUGACUUCCGGUUUCGUCCUCAGCCAGCCCAGGACCUGGCCCGUGGCGAGGGUUCCAUAAACCUUUGUGACUUUGAGUUUGCUUUUUUGUGGUGGUAAAACUUACCCAAAGUGUACCAUUUUAAACCUUUUAAAGUGUACGGUUCGGUGGCGUUAAGUCAUCGAGCUGUUGUUUUUUGUUUUUAUUGGGAUGUAGCUGAUUUACAGCGUGGUGGUCCCCGAGUUUUAAGAGUGAGCUCUGGAAGAUUCAGGAACCGGACGCGAAAAAAGUGGGCCUUGCUGUGUUGUGGCGUUUUACGGUUGAAAGUGCUUUCCCACCUGUUCCUGCUUCUGUGAUCGGGAGGUGGUGGUACCCUCAUUUUGCAGAUGAGAAAAGUGUCGUUGAAAGAGACUACGGUUGAAGC
This is a long non-coding RNA of Bos taurus (domestic cattle), 1219 nucleotides long. Lineage: Eukaryota; Metazoa; Chordata; Mammalia; Artiodactyla; Bovidae. The record is from Ensembl.